GGCUCAUUGGUCUAGGGGUAUGAUGCUCACUUAGGGUGUGAGAGGUCCCAGGUUCAAAUCCUGGCUGAGCCC
Molecule: transfer RNA, 72 nt
Filed under: Chrysemys picta bellii (western painted turtle)
Lineage: Eukaryota; Metazoa; Chordata; Testudines; Emydidae
Description: tRNA-Pro (AGG) (tRNA-Pro-AGG-3-1)
Rfam family: tRNA
About the family: Transfer RNA (tRNA) molecules are approximately 80 nucleotides in length.
Source: Rfam by way of RNAcentral